Peromyscus leucopus (white-footed mouse) is the source of this 483-nucleotide long non-coding RNA. RefSeq lists it as uncharacterized. Lineage: Eukaryota; Metazoa; Chordata; Mammalia; Rodentia; Cricetidae. The transcript has 3 exons. The record is from RefSeq and is a predicted model, not a curated record.
ACUGAGCUAAGAUGGUGUUCCGUGGUUCCUGGUGUCUCCUGUCUGUCUGUCUUCUGUCCUGGGAGCUGGGGGUUUUGGUCCACCAGUCAGAACAGCGGCCAACAGAGUCCUCUCGUACAGAUGAAAUGAUGGUUGAUAUGGAAAUACCUGGAGUUUCUGUCUUACUUCAGGAUAUUUGGAAGUACCUGAUGGAGGCUGAGGAACUGACUUUUUGGUGAUCUCGAGUCCAGUGAUUGGUCCCAAACCAAGGAGUGCAAGCAUCGUGAACACAGCAGUGAACACAGCUAUGCUCUGCUCUCCGUGGUGGACUCUUGAGACACAACCUAACUGCGAAAAGCCAACCCUGUCUGCAAAGAAGGACUAGUCACUUGCUUAUGCACACACACCCCUUCCUCCUCCUCCUAGCUUGGUAAAAGUUUCCUAGUCUGUAAGAGUGGCAUGCUUGCUUAGUGUGAGCUCUUCCCAGCUUUUCUGAAAUAAACC